CUCUUUUGCCCAAGUUUUCUUGUC
This 24-nucleotide non-coding RNA is filed under the name Arabidopsis thaliana (thale cress). The record is from RNAcentral. Lineage: Eukaryota; Viridiplantae; Streptophyta; Magnoliopsida; Brassicales; Brassicaceae.